ACCCACCUGAUUCCAUGCCGAACUCAGAAGUGAAACACAAUAGCGCCGAUGGUAGUGUGGGGUUUCCCCAUGUGAGAGUAGGACAUCGCCAGGC
RNAcentral lists this ribosomal RNA (94 nucleotides) under Vibrio splendidus. Lineage: Bacteria; Pseudomonadati; Pseudomonadota; Gammaproteobacteria; Vibrionales; Vibrionaceae. The record is from RNAcentral.